UUAAGUACUUAAGGUACGGAGCCGAAGGGAAACCGAGUCUGAAUAGGGCGACUAGUUGCAUGCCGUAGACCCGAAACCGGGUGACCUAUCCAUGGCCAGGUUGAAGCGAGGGUAAAACCUCGUGGAGGACCGAACCACGUUGCUGUUGAAAAAAGCAUGGGAUGAGCUGUGGAUAGCGGAGAAAAUUCCAAUCGAACCCGGAGAUAGCUGGUUCUCUCCGAAAUAGCUUUAGGGCUAGCGUCGAGUAUGAGUAGUGGAGGUAGCACUGAAUGGGCUAGGGGGCAUAGCGCUUACCGAACCUUAUCAAACUCCGAAUGCCACAUACUUUGAGCUCGGCAGUCAGACUACGAAUGAUAAGAUCCGUGGUCAAAAGGGAAACAGCCCAGAUCGUCAGCUAAGGUCCCAAAGUGUAAGUUAAGUGGGAAAGGAUGUGAGAUUCUAAGACAACUAGGGAUGUUGGCUUAGAAGCAGCCAUUCAUUAAAAGAGUGCGUAAUAGCUCACUAGUCGAGAGAUCUUGCGCCGAAAAUGUAACGGGGCUAAACUUACCACCGAAGCUACGGGCUUGAACUUAGUUCAAGCGGUAGGAGAGCGUCGUAACCGGGCUGAAGUCGUACCGUAAGGAGCGGUGGACUGGUUACGAGUGAGAAUGUUGGCAUCAGUAGCGAGAUGUGGGUGAGAAUCCCACAGGCCGAAAACCUAAGGUUUCCUCAGGAAGGUUCGUCCGCUGAGGGUUAGUCGGGACCUAAGCCGAGGCCGAAAGGCGUAGGUGAUGGACAACUGGUUGAUAUUCCAGUACCACUACCAUCGUUAUUAUCGAUGGCGUGACGCAGGAGGAUAGUGUGUGCUAGCUAUUGGAUGCUAGUCUAAGCGUUUAGGCAGUGAGAGUAGGCAAAUCCGCUCUCAUAAUGCUGAGGCGUGAUGGGGAAGGUUCUACGGAACUGAAGUACAUGAUUCCACGCUGCCAAGAAAAGCGUCUAGAGAGAGAAGUAGUGCCCGUACCGCAAACCGACACAGGUAGGUGAGGAGAGAAUCCUAAGGCCGGCGGAAGAAUUACAGUUAAGGAACUCGGCAAAUUGACCCCGUAAGUUCGCGAGAAGGGGUGCCUACGAGAGUAGGCCGCAGAGAAUAGGCCCAAGCAACUGUUUAGCAAAAACACAGGUCUCUGCUAAAGCGUAAGCUGAUGUAUAGGGGCUGACGCCUGCCCGGUGCUGGAAGGUUAAGGGGAACACUUAGCGCAAGCGAAGGUGUGAACUUAAGCCCCAGUAAACGGCGGCCGUAACUAUAACGGUCCUAAGGUAGCGAAAUUCCUUGUCAGGUAAGUUCUGACCCGCACGAAUGGCGUAAUGACUUGGGCACUGUCUCAACUGUAAAUCCGGCGAAGUUGUAGUGCGAGUGAAGAUGCUCGCUACCCGCGAUUGGACGGAAAGACCCCGUAGAGCUUUACUGUAGCUUAGCAUUGAGUUUUGGUAUUGUCUGUACAGGAUAGGUGGGAGACUAGGAAACCAGGGCGUCAGCCUUGGUGGAGUCAACCUUGGGAUACCACCCUGACAGUACUGAAAUUCUAACUGGCGGCCAUGAAUCUGGUCACAGGACAUUGUUAGGUGGGCAGUUUGACUGGGGCGGUCGCCUCCUAAAAAGUAACGGAGGCGCCCAAAGGUUCCCUCAGAACGGUCGGAAAUCGUUCGAAGAGUGCAAAGGCAGAAGGGAGCCUGACUGCGACACCCACAAGUGGAGCAGGGACGAAAGUCGGGCUUAGUGAUCCGGUGGUACCUCGUGGGAGGGCCAUCGCUCAACGGAUAAAAGCUACCUCGGGGAUAACAGGCUGAUCUCCCCCAAGAGUCCACAUCGACGGGGAGGUUUGGCACCUCGAUGUCGGCUCGUCGCAUCCUGGGGCUGAAGUAGGUCCCAAGGGUUGGGCUGUUCGCCCAUUAAAGCGGCACGCGAGCUGGGUUCAGAACGUCGUGAGACAGUUCGGUCCCUAUCCGUCGCGGGCGUAGGAAAUUUGAGAGGAGCUGUCCUUAGUACGAGAGGACCGGGAUGGACUGACCUCUGGUGUACCAGUUGUUCCGCCAGGAGCACAGCUGGGUAGCUAAGUCGGGAAUGGAUAAACGCUGAAAGCAUCUAAGCGUGAAGCCAACCUCAAGAUGAGAUUUCCCAUAGCGUAAGCUAGUAAGAUCCCUUGAAGAACACAAGGUUGAUAGGUCGGGGGUGUAAGCAUGGUAACAUGUUCAGCUGACCGAUACUAAUAGAUCGAGGGCUUGACCAA
RNAcentral lists this ribosomal RNA (2267 nucleotides) under Clostridium perfringens. Its description in RNAcentral is "bacterial LSU rRNA". It matches the Rfam family "Bacterial large subunit ribosomal RNA", at positions 646 to 2925 of the family's 2925-position model. The record is from RNAcentral. Lineage: Bacteria; Bacillati; Bacillota; Clostridia; Eubacteriales; Clostridiaceae.